This 389-nucleotide long non-coding RNA is filed under the name Cricetulus griseus (Chinese hamster). RNAcentral's name for it is "lncRNA (ENSCGRG00000024475.1)". The record is from RNAcentral. Lineage: Eukaryota; Metazoa; Chordata; Mammalia; Rodentia; Cricetidae.
CGGCGCGCCCCAUGAUUGGCCGGCGUCCCCGCGAUUAUUUGCAUAUAGCCCACCCACUCAGAUACCCCGCCCACAGGGAGGUGGGCGGUGUCCUGCGAGUUACGCGCCCCGCGCCGCCUCCGACGGCCCCGCCCACAGCCCCUGGCGCGCCUUCCUGGAAGCUCCUCACGCUGACAGGCCUCGCUUCUCCUCUCUGCAGCUGCUCGGGUGGCUUUGCUCCCGGAUCUCCUGAGUUGGGCCAUCCGAGGUCACCUCUGGGCGCCUCCCGAGGCCUGUUUCCUACUUGGAACAAGGUGGCAAAAGGUGGAAAACUUCUGGCUCCAGCAAGAAAGCACCUUGUUAAGAGACAUAAAACAUGGGGCCAGAGGACAGAGAGGAUUGGACCCUAG